Molecule: ribosomal RNA, 492 nt
Filed under: uncultured bacterium
Lineage: Bacteria
Description: partial 16S ribosomal RNA
Rfam family: Bacterial small subunit ribosomal RNA
Source: RNAcentral
GGUGAACGCUGGCGGCGUGCCUAAUACAUGCAAGUCGAACGGAAACACAUUAAGCUUUUGCCCUUACGGUUAGCGACUGACGGGUGAGUAACGCAUGGAUCAGCUUCCUCUUUUUCGUGGAGGACAUCGGGAGACCACUGCUACUACCACAUAAUACGUUCAACCGCAGGAAUCAAGAGAUCAUGACGCCUUUGCAGCUUGCAAGAGCCGAUGCCGGUUUAGCUAGGUGGCUGGGUAAGGAACCACCAAGGCAACGAAACGUAGCUGCUCUGAGAGGAUGGUCGGCCACACUGGACCGGGGACACGGUCCAGACUCCUACGGGAGGCAGCAGUGGGGAAUAUUGGACAAUGGGCGAAAGCCUGAUGCAGCAAUGCCGCGUGGGUGAAGAAGGUCUUCGGGUUGUAAAGCCCUUUUGUUGGGAAAGAAAAGCAGCAGGUUAAAACCCCGAUGUUUUGACGGUACCUAAACAGAAAGCAACGGCUAACUACGUG